Molecule: non-coding RNA, 701 nt
Organism: Dermatophagoides farinae (American house dust mite)
Lineage: Eukaryota; Metazoa; Arthropoda; Arachnida; Sarcoptiformes; Pyroglyphidae
Source: RefSeq, a predicted model, not a curated record
GCUCAAAAGUAGAAGCCGCUUAUAAAGAAACGCAUUCUGUGGUAUGUAGCUUUGACAAAGCUUUUUUUCAUUGUUCUAGCUCAGCACACUUUGCUGCAGAUUUUGCAUCCAAUAGAUGGUGCAGUCCUUCAAUAGAACAUAGAAAGAGUUCGAAUUCGAAUUUUUCGAAUUGAUUAUUGUGAUAAUACAUGUGUCACACGUGAUUUUCAUUUUGUGUGCCUGUGUGAGUGUAUAUUUGAUGAUGAAAUCUUGCCUGAAGACUGCAUUCAUUGGAAUGAUUUUUUCUGUAUUUUUGUUCCCGUGAUCUAUGAUCAUCGUUUGAAAAUGGAGCAUUUACGAUAUUGCAGAAAGCCACAGCGGUUGACGAUUCAAUGUUGAGUGUCUUCUUGCGAUGAACCCACAAGGUUAUCCUAUAGGAUCUAUAGACACAAACUUGGAUUAAACAUUGGAUCGAUUAUCAUGUUCAGUCACAAUAUUGAACCACAAAGUGGUUUGCUCAAUGGCACGGGUUUAUUUGUAAAUAGACGCAGCAUUGAAGCUCGAAUAUUGACAAGGAGGCUAUGAUUCAUUUUGCAGCAAAACGAUCGAGAUCCUAAGCUACCAUUUAAAUUGACGAUUUCCUGUCGUAUUGGCUUUUGCUUUGACAAUUAAUGUUAAAAAUAAAAAAAAAGUAAAUAAGUGUGUACCUUCCUACAACAGUA